RNAcentral lists this ribosomal RNA (497 nucleotides) under uncultured bacterium. RNAcentral's name for it is "partial 16S ribosomal RNA". It matches the Rfam family "Bacterial small subunit ribosomal RNA", at positions 28 to 507 of the family's 1533-position model. The record is from RNAcentral.
GAUGAACGCUGGCGGCGUGCCUAAUACAUGCAAGUCGAGCGAACAGACGAGGAGCUUGCUCCUCUGACGUUAGCGGCGGACGGGUGAGUAACACGUGGAUAACCUCCCUAUAAGACUGGGAUAACUUCGGGAAACCGGAGCUAAUACCGGAUACUAUAUUGAACCGCAUGGUUCAAUAGUGAAAGACGGUUUUGCUGUCACUUAUAGAUGGAUCCGCGCCGCAUUAGCUAGUUGGUAAGGUAACGGCUUACCAAGGCAACGAUGCGUAGCCGACCUGAGAGGGGAGGCGGCCACACUGGAACGGAGACACGGUCCAGACUCCUACGGGAGGCAGCAGUAGGGAAUCUUCCGCAAUGGGCGAAAGCCUGACGGAACAACGCCGCGUGAGUGAUGAAGGUCUGCGGAUCGUAAAACUCUGUUAUUAGGGAAGAACAAAUGUGUAAGUAACGAUGCACUUCUUGACGGUACCUAAUCAGAAAGCCACGGCUAACUACGUG